RNAcentral lists this long non-coding RNA (283 nucleotides) under Physcomitrium patens. Its description in RNAcentral is "long non-coding RNA (PPAT_LNC002959)". Lineage: Eukaryota; Viridiplantae; Streptophyta; Bryopsida; Funariales; Funariaceae. The record is from RNAcentral.
CCUACUUCUAUUGUUGUAUUUUGAAGGUUACGGACUACCUACUUUUAAACAAAUAAACUUAUUUUCUAAUAUUGAUUUAUUUUUUAAAGAGAGUAGAUUAUCCUUCUUUAUAGAAAUUUUUAUUUGAUACUAGAAGGUGUGGAUUAUUCUCCUCUAAUUUUGUCACGGACACAAAAUACAGACUUGAAAUCUAACAAGAAGUUCAAGAAGAAGUGGCAGAACUAGAUUAAACAGAUGAGUACAAGAACAACACCAGAAAGGUGAGCUAGAACUCCAAGAGAUG